AUUGAACGCUGGCGGCAGGCCUAACACAUGCAAGUCGAGCGAGCGGCGGACGGGUGAGUAAUGUAUGGGGACUGCCCGAUAGAGGGGGAUAACUACUGGAAACGGUAGCUAAUACCGCAUACUAUCGGAUAACCCAUAUGGGAUUAGCUAGUAGGUGAGGUAAUGGCUCACCUAGGCGACGAUCCCUAGCUUGUCUGAGAGGAUGAUCAGCCAAACGUGGACCUAGACACGGCCCCGACGCCUACGGAGGCAGGAGUGGGGAAUAUUGCACAAUGGGGGCAAGCCUGAGGCAGCCCUUCCGGGUGUUUGAAGAAGGCCCUAGGGUUGUAAAGUACUUUCAGUCGGGAGGCGUUACCGACAGAAGAAGCACCGGCUAACUCCGUGCCAGCCGCCGCGGUAAUUC
This 403-nucleotide ribosomal RNA is filed under the name uncultured bacterium. Its description in RNAcentral is "partial 16S ribosomal RNA". It matches the Rfam family "Bacterial small subunit ribosomal RNA", at positions 30 to 526 of the family's 1533-position model. The record is from RNAcentral.